This 363-nucleotide RNase P RNA is filed under the name Thermotoga sp. Its description in RNAcentral is "RNase P RNA component class A". It matches the Rfam family "Bacterial RNase P class A". From Rfam's summary of the family: Ribonuclease P (RNase P) is a ubiquitous endoribonuclease, found in archaea, bacteria and eukarya as well as chloroplasts and mitochondria. Its best characterised activity is the generation of mature 5'-ends of tRNAs by cleaving the 5'-leader elements of precursor-tRNAs. The record is from RNAcentral. Lineage: Bacteria; Thermotogati; Thermotogota; Thermotogae; Thermotogales; Thermotogaceae.
GGAGCUGGGCGGGUGAUCGCGGGAUCAGGUGAUUCUUUCACACCUGAUCCUGAGGAAAGUCCGGACUCCGAGGACAGGGUGCUGGAUAACGUCCAGAGGGAGUGAUCCCUGGAUAGGGCCAUAGAAAAGGAAACCGCCCUUCCAUGGUGAAGGGCAAGGGUGGAAAGGUGAGGUAAGAGCUCACCAGCAUCGGGGUGACCCGAUGGCUUGGCAACCCCCACCUGGAGCAAGGCCAAGCAGGGAAGGUUCGAGGUGGUUCCGCCGAUCAUCCUUCCCGGGUAGGCCGCACGAGGGAUGUGGUAACACAUCCCCAAGAUGGAUGAUCACCCGAGACAGAAUCCGGCUUACAGCCCAGCUCCCCUG